CACAUGGAAGUGCUCUCUGAGAGUAACCUCGGGAGGGGCGAGGAUGGGCUGGCGUCCCUGAGGACUGCGGCCGCCCCUGGAGCAGAGGACGUAACCGCGAAGGCCUUCCGUGGUCGCAACCCUUCCACUGAGAGACACGAAGCCUACUAGUGGAGCCCCGGGGCGCUCCUGACCCCGCCGCGGGGCGAGGGCUGUGACUCGGCUGUUGGGAGUUUCAGGAUCCCUUUGAAGCUCCAAACUUGAGACUUCCUACCACCUCUUCAACUAUCGCGGGAGAAAGUGAAGUUAGGGCGGGAGUCUUUCGAUGAGCAGAAGUGAAGGGUCGAACGGGCUUCCAGAAGCCGUCAAGGAUAACUUUUUGAAAUACGGGCAAGUGUCGAUAGCUUUGAAGAUUUGGGGGGAGGGGGGAAUCUAUGUACAAAUACAGCUUAAAACACAGAAAGAAGUGAGCUUUAAAGGAAAAUAUUCACUCUCACUACCCCUGUCCAGGAAGAAAAGUGCUGAUCUGCAGCUUCCAAUCCGCUAAACUGGAGAGUAGAGGCUGCCUGAUCCAAGCCCAGCCAGUGUUGGUCUCCCCAAGCAUUCCUACCUUGGUACGAUCUCAGCUACGGUUUUUAAAAAACAAAAAAAUAAAAAGGAAAAAAAUACUGAGAGGAAAUACACCAAAUUUUUCAUUGUGGUUAACUACAGUAGUAGGUUAUAUGAGAUUUUCAUGUUCUGCUUUGGACUUUUGUCUGCUUUCUACAACUUUUCCAAAAUAUUUACAAAAGUAUAGAUUGCCAUCAUAACCAGACAAAAAAAAAACUUUGACAUUUAAAUGGCAUAUACAAUAUAUUCUCAAUUAUAUAAACAUGCAUAGAAAAGGAAGGAAAUAUGAAGAACUGUUAACUAUGUUAUUCUUGACAACUAAGAUAUGGUCCCCUGUUCUGCUUUGAGCUUUUUUGAUAUAUUCCACCUGAUAAACAAUUUUGAAAUAAAUUAAGUCACUGUGUUCAAAAGUCAUAAGUCAUGAGGUUCCAAAAUGAGAUCAUGAAUUCAAAAGUCUUUAGGAACUAUAAAGCAAAAGUAAUACAUUAGCGUUGUCAUGAAGACAUGAGUUUACAAUAUUUCUUACUGUAAAUUAGCAAAUGAGUUUUGGGUGUAUUAUCAGUUUCUCAGUACAUGAAUCUUUCUCUAAUAGCAAAGGCAACUUCCAGAUAAGCUGAUUAAGAUUCUGGAACUACAAGUCGAACUAGUCCCUGGAGCAGAAGUAAAAUUCCAAACCUACGGUCCCAUCCAGCCUGUCCACAAAAUUACUAUAUUGAUGAUAGCAGCAGAUACUCAUGAGAGGUAUGACUUGUGUUUCCUCCAUACCUAAAUAAAAAAGAGAAAGGACCAUUCUGGUUUCUCUGGAGAUUAAAUAGCAAAAGGAGGGCUUGAUUUGAUUAAUAAAUCUAGAUAUCCUAUGGAUUUUGUAGUGAUAUGCUUUGACAUUUAUAUCUAAGUAGUUCAUUUUUGCGAAAAAUCAAUAAAAUGGUUUUUCAAGCAGA
This 1529-nucleotide long non-coding RNA is filed under the name Lynx pardinus (Iberian lynx). The record is from RNAcentral. Lineage: Eukaryota; Metazoa; Chordata; Mammalia; Carnivora; Felidae.